This 497-nucleotide ribosomal RNA is filed under the name uncultured bacterium. RNAcentral describes it as "partial 16S ribosomal RNA". It matches the Rfam family "Bacterial small subunit ribosomal RNA", at positions 28 to 507 of the family's 1533-position model. The record is from RNAcentral.
GAUGAACGCUGGCGGCGUGCCUAAUACAUGCAAGUCGAGCGAACGGACGAGAAGCUUGCUUCUCUGAUGUUAGCGGCGGACGGGUGAGUAACACGUGGAUAACCUACCUAUAAGACUGGGAUAACUUCGGGAAACCGUAGCUAAUACCGGAUAAUAUUUUGAACCGCAUGGUUCAAAAGUGAAAGACGGUCUUGCUGUCACUUAUAGAUGGAUCCGCGCUGCAUUAGCUAGUUGGUAAGGUAACGGCUUACCAAGGCAACGAUGCAUAGCCGACCUGAGAGGGUGAUCGGCCACACUGGAACUGAGACACGGUCCAGACUCCUACGGGAGGCAGCAGUAGGGAAUCUUGCGCAAUGGGCGAAAGCCUGACGGAGCAACGCCGCGUGAGUGAUGAAGGUCUUCGGAUCGUAAAACUCUGUUAUUAGGGAAGAACAUAUGUGUAAGUAACUGUGCACAUCUUGACGGUACCUAAUCAGAAAGCAACGGCUAACUACGUG